Long non-coding RNA from Brassica napus (rape), 1217 nucleotides. RefSeq lists it as uncharacterized. The transcript has 2 exons. The record is from RefSeq and is a predicted model, not a curated record. NCBI's taxonomy places the organism in Eukaryota, Viridiplantae, Streptophyta, Magnoliopsida, Brassicales, Brassicaceae.
CGUCUAUUAUCAAGAGCUAGGCAGCGUUGGAUCCAAAGAAAAUGAAUAGAGUCAAACCAAAAAAUCUAAUUUAAUUAUGGGGAAAAAACUAUAAAGUUAAAACUCAAAAAAAAAUUAUAGGUUACAAUUGAUAGUUAGGUUCGGUCAAAGCAUAAUAACUUUUUAUGCAUGUAAGCAUCAAUUUUAACGUAUGUUUUUAAGUUUUAAACUUCAAUAUAACGUUUAUAUAUAUGUAGUUAAUCGUGAACUUCAAUCUAAACUGACUAUGUUGGCAAUAAUAGAUUUUUGGAUGAGGGCCGGUUUAAUUUGGAAUCAAUAAGACAGACUUUUGGAUAAAAUAAGCAACAUAUCUGAUUUGGAAAUCCUUUUUUUCUUUUCCUAAUUAAUAUUAUCUUCUUUUUGGAGACCGUUUUGAAAUAUUGGCAACGAACAAACAAACAGUAAGAAAAAAAAAAAGGGUCUCUAGAAUAUCCAAGAAUCUCUUAUGAUAAGCUUCUGCCACUUGGUAUACGUAGGGGAUAUAAUUAGUUUGUUGUUAUUAUUAUUUUUAUAUCUUUCUUGUCACUAUGUGGUUGGUUGAUGGAUUCAGGAUCAAGUUGGCCUAUUAUUCCUGGAUAUGCUUUGGAUUUUAGAGUACUGUUUCAUCUGAAAUUCUUAGCUCUUCACCUAACGAUGAUUUAAUCAUUAACCAAAAAAACAAAGUCGUCAUGAAUUCUUCAAGACUCAGCUUCAAGCCACAUGAACGAGAAAAGAAGACACACUUGGACCAUCACUCCAUCAGUGAUCUCGAUCAGUAAACCAUACAUCUAAAGAGAAGCAAGAGACUUAGUUACUUUAUUGGCAUCAAAGAGGAAGGCUAGGGAGGAAAGUAGUAUUUCAUCAAAAAGCGCAAGGCAUUCUACUUCAAGGGUGAGUUUCGAAUGAGGAAUCGACGAACUUUAGAUGAGCAUUAUCAGUUGGAAUUGUUAAGAAUUAGGGCGGCCUCAAGACUUAACAAUUCCCCACCUAAAAAAUGUGUCAAAAGUAUUUUCCAAAGGUAUUUUUUCUGAUGAAAACUAUGAAUUGAAGAACUGUUUUGGUAGACCUUCAGGUUUGGUUAGGUUAUGAUAGUGUUUGUAUGGUGGAUCAUGUUGGUUAUGGGGGCAAUCUUGCUAUAUUUUGGAAGCACUCUGUAAAGUUAGAUUUUAAAUUUGUAAAUAAAAACUUGUUGGAUUGCA